This 1354-nucleotide long non-coding RNA is filed under the name Capsicum annuum. Its description in RNAcentral is "long non-coding RNA (CANN_LNC012105)". The record is from RNAcentral. Lineage: Eukaryota; Viridiplantae; Streptophyta; Magnoliopsida; Solanales; Solanaceae.
GGCCACUGGAAUAUACACUCACCUCACAUACACAGACUCCAUUCUUUUCUUUACAACAAUAUUCAAACACAACACACACUCAUUUAUCAUCUUCUUCGAUGAACACAUACUAACACACAUAUUCCUCCAUCACCAUAUUCAUAUACAUGUACACAACAGCACAACAAUGCUCACAUCACACAAUUCCAUUCACUGAUCUUGAACACAGAGCACCAUACGCACACACACCACCGCCAUAGAUGACCACACAUACUACAGAAAAAGGGGGAUUAUCUCACACUCAUCGGAUAUACACGCACUCAUCGGAGUUAACACACGCACAUACAAAAUUAGGAGAAGGGUGGAACAGUGAGAAAUUAAGGUGGGUCAUCAAAUUUUUCGGUGAAUUCCUCACUGGAAUUGGUAAUUUCUCAUUAGAUUUUGAUGUUGCCAGCCCCCCUAAUCUCUCUUAUACCACUAGAAAUAGGACAGAGAGAGUACGCCAGUGAGGUAGAGGAGAAAGUUGUUGACUUCCAGCCUCUGAUAUAGCUCCGGCGAUCUUUAUUCGCUGAAAAGACAUCAAAAUCUGAUGAAAAAUUAGUUCGGAUCUCGCGAUAAAAUUGGAAAAAUUGGGCUGUUGAAGUUGACUCUGGCGGGUUGAAUACUUGUCUUUUUGAGAUUUUCUAAUCUCUGUCUCGUAUUCUUCAUUUUUCUUUGUGGUUUUGAUUCGAGUCAGACAUCGGUUUUAUUGCGAAUUUGAACUGGUUCAUACCUGAUUUGGGGAGUCGAGAUCUUGGUACCUGUUGAGGUUAUUGAAGGGGACUUCUUUAUUAUCUCCGAUAUAUUGAAAUCGACAUUAAAGGUCCAAUCCUUCAACUCUCUCCUCUCUUUAUUUUGAUUUGGUGUAUUGAUUGUUGUGAAUGUGGGUUGAUGAUCGUGAUUGAAUGAUUUUAUUGAUGUUUGAUAUUGUUUAUUCAUGAAUAAUAGAUCGUGGAAUGAAUUUGCUGAUUGAGUAUAGGUUUGGAUAAUUGUUUCAUUUGAAAAUUCAUGAGUUAAAAGAAGGAAUUUGGGAAAGGGUUGAGAUUGAUGAAAUAAAAGUGGUUUAAUUUUGAUUCAUUAUUGUUGAUUUAAAUUGAAAUUAGUAGGCAAAUGCUAAGUGAGUAGGCAGAUUUAGGAAUAACGAUAUGUUGAGUGUUUGAAUAUGUGUGUGAAUGAUUCAUUCUAUUUUAUCGCACAACAAUUGAAAUUGUAUUCAUUUGGCCGGGGAAUGCCCCGAAGGAUUUGUAUUGAUUUAUCUAGGGAAUGCCCCAAAGUAUCAUGUAUGCAGAGGAGGCUUGUGAUCAAGGCCCGAAGCAUCGGGUAAGGCAUUAGAGCG